UCUGGUUGAUCCUGCCAGUAGUCAUAUGCUUGUCUCAAAGAUUAAGCCAUGCAUGUCUAAGUAUAAAUAGUAUACAGUGAAACUGCGAAUGGCUCAUUAAAACAGUUAUAGUUUAUUUGAUAAUUGACAAUUACAUGGAUAACCGUGGUAAUUCUAGAGCUAAUACAUGCUUAAACGCCCGACUUUAUGGAAGGGUGGUAUUUAUUAGACUGAAGCCAAUAUUCCUUGUGUCUAUUGCGGUGAUUCAUAAUAACUGAUCGAAUCUCUUUUUGAGAUAAAUCAUUCAAGUUUCUGCCCUAUCAGCUUUCGAUGGUAGUGUAUUGGACUACCAUGGCAGUAACGGGUAACGAAGAAUUAGGGUUCGAUUUCGGAGAGGGAGCAUGAGAAACGGCUACCACAUCUAAGGGAGGCAGCAGGCGCGUAAAUUACCCAAUCCUGACUCAGGGAGGUAGUGACAAGAAAUAGCAAACCGGGAACCUCAUGGUUUCACGGUAUUGCAAUGAGAACAAUUUAAAACCCUUAGCGAGAAUCAAGUGGAGGACAAGUCUGGUGCCAGCACCCGCGGUAAUUCCAGCUCCACUAGCGUAUAUUAAAGUUGUUGCAGUUAAAAAGCUCGUAGUUGAACCUCUGUCUGGGGCUAGUUUUGGCUUUGGUCAGGCUAGUUCUAGGCAUCCGCCUACAAGACUUAGAGGGCAUUCAGUUGUUCACUAGGAGGAGUAGGCAUUUUACUUUGAAAAAAUUAGAGUGUUUAAGGCAGGCAAUCGCCCGCAUAUAUUAGCAUGGAAUAAUAGAAUAGGACACUUUUCCAUUUCGUUGGUUAUUGGAAUCGUGUAAUGAUUAAUAGGGACAGUUGUGGGCAUUUGUAUUUAAUUGUCAGAGGUGAAAUUCUUGGAUUUAUUAAAGACAAACUAACGCGAAAGCAUUUGCCAAGGAUGUUUUCAUUAAUCAAGAACGAAAGUUAGGGGAUCAAAGACGAUCAGAUACCGUCCUAGUCUUAACUAUAAACUAUUCCGACUCAAUGUUUGACUGGCUUAUAUAACCAGUUGAGCGUUGUAUGGGAAAUCAAAGUCUUUAGGUUCUGGGGGGAGUAUGGUUGCAAAGCUGAAACUUAAAGGAAUUGACGGAAGAGCACAACCAGGAGUGGAUUCUGCGGCUUAAUUUGACUCAACACGGGGAAACUUACCAGGUUAAAACAAUAGUGGGAUUGACAGUUUGAGAGCGCUUUCUUGAUUGGUUGGGUGGUGGUGCAUGGCC
This 1254-nucleotide ribosomal RNA is filed under the name metagenome. Its description in RNAcentral is "SSU rRNA". It matches the Rfam family "Eukaryotic small subunit ribosomal RNA", at positions 1 to 1289 of the family's 1831-position model. The record is from RNAcentral.